AAGGAGGCUAAUGAUUCUGCCCCUGUGACACUUGGUGGUGACGUGUGAGCUGAUUCACCUGGACACUCAGCAAAAUAUGGACUCUACACCAUGAGGCAGGCACACGUUAAUACUCUAUAUGAGCACAUAAGCAUGAGGAUGUCCUCACACACCUGUAACCUAUCAGCUCAUCUGGCAGAAUAGAGAGAGAAGAGACAACACCACAUCUCCCGUUCCUGGAAAGCCUUCAGCCAUCCUUCGAUGACUGAGAACCUUCAUCAGCUCUGUCUCCUGUCUGCCUACAAUUAUUAUAAUAAAUAUUGUGUUUGACAAGUUUUUUGUGCUGCCAAAUAUCUCAUUUUGAUUCCUGUUUUUAUAUUUUAAGGGAUAUUUAUAAAUUACAUUAAUUGAAUUAUCACAUUGUUGCAUGUUUAACUAGCUCUACUGUGAUCAAUUAAACUAGCACCUCACUGUUAAAAGCUCGUUUUAAUUUCAAGCAUGUUUAAGUAUUUAUGGACAUGAACAAAAAAGGAAAUAUAUAAAUUGAGAUUUAUUUAAUUAAUAUAAGAAAUAAGGGGGAAAGAGUCAUUGAAAGGCACAUUCUUCUGGAAGCUCCUGAUCCUGACAACACCAGCAGAGGAGACCACCUGCAGACACCAGAGGAUCACCUACGACCAAGAGAGCAGCUGGUAUCAGUAAAUAAAUAAUGUAAUCAGGGCAGUUUUAGUGGGCUGAACACAUUACAGAAUAAUUUUCUCAUGGGGUAGUUUCAUAACUUUCUAUGCAGCAGACUAACUUGAGCCCAGGGCUCCUGGAAAGCUGCUAUCCAGCACGUUUCAGUGGUUUUCCUGCUUUAACAGGUUAGAUUAGCUGUUAAGCAGCUCAGCUAUUUGUUGCUGAUUAAAACCAGGUGUGUUGAAGCAGAUUAACCUCUAAAACAUGCUGAAUGCUAGCUCUCUAGGGCCGCGGAGCCAAACCCUGCAGCUAAUCUAAUGCUAUA
Nothobranchius furzeri (turquoise killifish) is the source of this 979-nucleotide non-coding RNA. NCBI's taxonomy places the organism in Eukaryota, Metazoa, Chordata, Actinopteri, Cyprinodontiformes, Nothobranchiidae. The record is from RefSeq and is a predicted model, not a curated record.